CAUGGCUCAGGACGAACGCUGGCGGCGUGCUUAACACAUGCAAGUCGAACGCUGAAGGCCCAGCUUGCUGGGUUGGAUGAGUGGCGAACGGGUGAGUAACACGUGAGUAACCUGCCCCCUUCUUUGGGAUAACGGUCGGAAACGGCUGCUAAUACCGGGUAUUCACUGUCCUUCGCAUGGGGGGUGGUGGAAAGGUUUUUUCUGGUGGGGGAUGGGCUCGCGGCCUAUCAGCUUGUUGGUGGGGUGAUGGCUUACCAAGGCUUUGACGGGUAACCGGCCUGAGAGGGUGACCGGUCACAUUGGGACUGAGAUACGGCCCAGACUCCUACGG
This 331-nucleotide ribosomal RNA is filed under the name uncultured bacterium. RNAcentral describes it as "bacterial SSU rRNA". It matches the Rfam family "Bacterial small subunit ribosomal RNA", at positions 18 to 344 of the family's 1533-position model. The record is from RNAcentral.